AUGCUUACUUCUGCAACACAUAUACUAAAAUUGGAAUAAUACAGAGAUUACCACAGCCUCUGCAUGAGGAUAACAUGCAAAUUCAUGACACCUUCUACACUGUU
This 104-nucleotide small nuclear RNA is filed under the name Procavia capensis (Cape rock hyrax). Lineage: Eukaryota; Metazoa; Chordata; Mammalia; Hyracoidea; Procaviidae. The record is from RNAcentral.